RNAcentral lists this ribosomal RNA (443 nucleotides) under uncultured bacterium. RNAcentral's name for it is "partial 16S ribosomal RNA". It matches the Rfam family "Bacterial small subunit ribosomal RNA", at positions 338 to 795 of the family's 1533-position model. The record is from RNAcentral.
CCUACGGGAGGCAGCAGUGGGGAAUAUUGGGCAAUGGGCGCAAGCCUGACCCAGCAACGCCGCGUGAAGGAAGAAGGCCCUCGGGUUGUAAACUUCUUUUGUCAGGGACGAAGAAAGUGACGGUACCUGACGAAUAAGCCACGGCUAACUACGUGCCAGCAGCAGCGGUAAUACGUAGGUGGCAAGCGUUAUGCGGAUUUACUGGGUGUAAAGGGCGUGUAGGCGGGACUGCAAGUCAGAUGUGAAAUUCCAGGGCUCAACCCUGGAACUGCAUUUGAAACUGUAGUUCUUGAGUGAUGGAGAGGCAGGCGGAAUUCCUGGUGUAGCGGUGAAAUGCGUAGAUAUUAGGAGGAACACCAGUGGCGAAGGCGAUUUGCUAGACUGUAACUGACACUGAUGCACGAAAGCGUGGGGAGCAAACAGGAUUAGAUACCCUUGUAGUC